CUCUACUUCGUGCCAAAUCAGAAGAGGGUCAAGUAAAGAAGAAGUCGAGCUCCUCCAGCAUUCAAGUCGACUACACAUUCGAGAGGAGACCGGAGUUCAAGAAGCCAUUCCUCUACUUCAGCUUAAAAGCGUUUGAGGGCUUCUAAACUCCUCUUUUGAUUAUAUUGUUUUACAUCUGCUUUUGAGAAGCUUAUUUUCCUUUCUUUCUAUAACUUGUAUUUACUUGGUUCAAUCGGGGGAUUGAAUCAAGGGGACUAAGGUUGGUUGGUGAGCCAAGUUAAAAACCAAUGCGUGUAAGGGUUUGAUUGUGAGCCCGGGAAAACAAUCGGGGUUGGUUCUAGUCGGUGAGCCUGGGAAAACCGACCGAGUUCGUUGUGACCUCGUAAAACAACAAGUUGGGUUGUGAGCUUGUAAAACAACCGGCUGUAAUCUAUAGGAUUAUAGUGGAAUUCCCAAGAGGUCUUGGGGAGUGGAUGUAGGUGCUGGGGUGCACCGAACCACUAUAUGUUUGUUGUGUUUGUGAUGUUUUUUUGUCAUUGUCUAACUUGCUUACUUAGAUAUAUUGCUUGCUUAACUCGUAUCUACGCAUCCCUUAGUUGCAAGCAUACUCAAUUUACUUAAUCAAGUCCCAUUUAAUAAAUCAUACUGUUGCUAAGUUUAAAUUCCACUGCGCAUCUAUACAACUUAGCAUAGUUAAUCAAAAAGUCUUAGAAGUAGUUUAAAAGUUUUAAAAGACCCAAUUCACCCCCCCUCUUGGGUUAUAUCUACUGGGCAAC
RNAcentral lists this long non-coding RNA (776 nucleotides) under Phoenix dactylifera (date palm). RNAcentral describes it as "long non-coding RNA (PDAC_LNC018354)". The record is from RNAcentral. Lineage: Eukaryota; Viridiplantae; Streptophyta; Magnoliopsida; Arecales; Arecaceae.